AGCGAACGCUGGCGGCAGGCCUAACACAUGCAAGUCGAACGAACUCUUCGGAGUUAGUGGCGGACGGGUGAGUAACACGUGGGAACGUGCCUUUUGGUUCGGAAUAACUCAGGGAAACUUGUGCUAAUACCGAAUGUGCUCUUCGGGGGAAAGAUUUAUCGCCAUUGGAGCGGCGCGCGUCUGAUUAGCUGGUUGGUGAGGUAACGGCUCACCAAGGCGACGAUCAGUAGCUGGUCUGAGAGGAUGACCAGCCACACUGGGACUGAGACACGGCCCAGACUCCUACGGGAGGGAGCAGUGGGGAAUCUUGCGCAAUGGGCGAAAGCCUGACGCAGCCAUGCCGCGUGAAUGAUGAAGGUCUUAGGAUUGUAAAAUUCUUUCACCGGGGACGAUAAUGACGGUACCCGGAGAAGAAGCCCCGGCUAACUUCGUG
This 433-nucleotide ribosomal RNA is filed under the name uncultured bacterium. Its description in RNAcentral is "partial 16S ribosomal RNA". It matches the Rfam family "Bacterial small subunit ribosomal RNA", at positions 29 to 507 of the family's 1533-position model. The record is from RNAcentral.